GGAGCAUUGAAUGCGGGAAGAAGCUGUACCGAAAGGAGCAGUGGACUGCAUUGAAAAGAGAAUGCCGGAAUGAGUAGCGAGAAAUAGGUGAGAAUCCUAUUGGCCGAAUAUCCAAGGAUUCCAGGGUAAAGCUGAUCUGCCCUGGGUAAGUCGGGGCCUAAGGCGAGGUCGGAAGACGUAGCCGAUGGACAACAGGUGGAGAUUCCUGUACUGCAUAUGGUCAGAACUGUGGGGACACGGGGUGUUAACGGAAGCCGGGAAAGGAAAGACCGGUCCAAGCACAGGAGGCGUUGCGCAGGCAAAUCCGCGCAAUAAGCCAAAGGUGUGACGGGGAGCGAAAUUAUAGUAGCGAAGUCCGGAUACAUGCUGUCAAGAAAAGCCGCUAUUGCGCCAUAUGUACCCGUACCGUAAACCGACACAGGUGGAUGAGGAGAGAAUCCUAAGGCCGGCGGGAGAAGUGUUGUUAAGGAACUCGGCAAAAUGGCCCCGUAACUUCGGGAGAAGGGGCGCCCAGAAAUGGGCCGCAGAGAAAAGGCUCAAGCAACUGUUUAGCAAAAACACAGGUCUAUGCGAAACCGAAAGGUGAGGUAUAUGGGCUGACGCCUGCCCGGUGCUGGAAGGUUAAGGGGAGAGGUUAGCCGCAAGGCGAAGCUUUGAACUUAAGCCCCAGUAAACGGCGGCCGUAACAAUAACGGUCCUAAGGUAGCGAAAUUCCUUGUCGGGUAAGUUCCGACCCGCACGAAAGGCGUAAUGAUUUGAGCACUGUCUCGACAACACACCCGGUGAAAUUGAAAUACCAGUGAAGAUGCUGGUUACCUGCGCCAGGACGGAAAGACCCCAUGGAGCUUUACUCUAGUUUGAUACUGGGACCCGGUAUGACAUGUACAGGAUAGGUGGGAGGCAGAGAAUUAAUGACGCCAGUCAUUAAGGAGCCGCUGUUGGGAUACCACCCUUGUGAUGCCAGGUUUCUAACGAGCUGCCGUGAACCGGCAGGCGGACAAUGUCAGGCGGGGAGUUUGACUGGGGCGGUCGCCUCCGAAAGGGUAUCGGAGGCGCUCAAAGGUUCCCUCAGAAUGGUUGGAAACCAUUCGGAGAGUGCAAAGGCAGAAGGGAGCCUGACUGCGACACCGACGGGUGGAGCAGGUACGAAAGUAGGACUUAGUGAUCCGGUGGUAUAAAGUGGGAUUGCCAUCGCUCAACGGAUAAAAGCUACCCUGGGAUAACAGGCUUAUCACUCCCAAGAGUUCACAUCGACGGAGUGGUUUGGCACCUCGAUGUCGGCUCAUCGCAUCCUGGGGCUGGAGUAGGUCCCAAGGGUUGGGCUGUUCGCCCAUUAAAGCGGUACGCGAGCUGGGUUCAGAACGUCGUGAGACAGUUCGGUCCCUAUCCGGCGCGGGCGUAAGAGAUUUGAGAGGAGCUGUCCUUAGUACGAGAGGACCGGGAUGGACGGACCACUGGUGUAUCUGUUGCACCACCAGGUGCACGGCAGAGUAGCCAAGUCCGGACGGGAUAAACGCUGAAGGCAUCUAAGCGUGAAGCCCCCCUCAAGAUGAGAUCUCUCAUUCGAAAGAAGUAAGACCCCUUGAAGACGACGAGGUAGAUAGGGCAGAGGUGGAAGGGCAGUAAUGUCCGGAGCUGACUGUUACUAAUCGGUCGAGGGCUUGAUC
Molecule: ribosomal RNA, 1667 nt
Filed under: metagenome
Description: bacterial LSU rRNA
Rfam family: Bacterial large subunit ribosomal RNA
Source: RNAcentral